Molecule: ribosomal RNA, 593 nt
Filed under: Hansenula anomala
Lineage: Eukaryota; Fungi; Ascomycota; Saccharomycetes; Phaffomycetales; Wickerhamomycetaceae
Description: eukaryotic LSU rRNA
Rfam family: Eukaryotic large subunit ribosomal RNA
Source: RNAcentral
CCACGGGACAUGCCUCAGUACGGCGAGUGAAGCGGCAAAAGCUCAAAUUUGAAAUCUAGCACCUUCGGUGUUCGAGUUGUAAUUUGAAGAUGGUAACCUUGGGUUUGGCUCUUGUCUAUGUUCCUUGGAACAGGACGUCAUAGAGGGUGAGAAUCCCGUCUGAUGAGAUGCCCAUUCCUAUGUAAGGUGCUAUCGAAGAGUCGAGUUGUUUGGGAAUGCAGCUCUAAGUGGGUGGUAAAUUCCAUCUAAAGCUAAAUAUUGGCGAGAGACCGAUAGCGAACAAGUACAGUGAUGGAAAGAUGAAAAGAACUUUGAAAAGAGAGUGAAAAAGUACGUGAAAUUGUUGAAAGGGAAGGGCAUUAGAUCAGACUUGGUGUUUUACGAUUAUCUUCUCUUCUUGAGUUGUGCACUCGUAUUUCACUGGGCCAGCAUCGAUUCGGAUGGCAAGAUAAUGGCAGUUGAAUGUGGCUUCACUUCGGUGGAGUGUUAUAGCUUCUGCUGAUAUUGCCUGUCUGGAUCGAGGGCUGCGUCUUUUGACUAGGAUGCUGGCGUAAUGAUCUAAUGCCGCCAAUCUUGAACAACGGGACCCAAAA